CCUACGGGCGGCAGCAGUGGGGAAUAUUGCGCAAUGGGCGAAAGCCUGACGCAGCGACGCCGCGUGAGGGAUGAAGGUCUUCGGAUCGUAAACCUCUGUCAGCAGGGAAGAACGGUCACUGUGCUAAUCAGCAGUGCAUUGACGGUACCUGCAAAGGAAGCACCGGCUAACUCCGUGCCAGCAGCCGCGGUAAUACGGAGGGUGCGAGCGUUAAUCGGAAUUACUGGGCGUAAAGCGCUCGUAGGCGGUAUGUCAAGUCAAGGGUGAAAUCCCCGCGCUCAACGUGGGAACUGCCUUUGAAACUGGCAAACUGGAGUGUGGGAGAGGAUAGUGGAAUUCCAGGGGUAGGAGUGAAAUCCGUUGAUAUCUGGAGGAACAUCAGUGGCGAAGGCGACUAUCUGGCACAUAACUGACGCUGAGGAGCGAAAGCGUGGGUAGCAAACAGGAUUAGAUACCCCAGUAGUC
RNAcentral lists this ribosomal RNA (465 nucleotides) under uncultured bacterium. RNAcentral describes it as "partial 16S ribosomal RNA". It matches the Rfam family "Bacterial small subunit ribosomal RNA", at positions 338 to 795 of the family's 1533-position model. The record is from RNAcentral.